This 1903-nucleotide small RNA is filed under the name Pan troglodytes (chimpanzee). Its description in RNAcentral is "processed transcript". The record is from RNAcentral. Lineage: Eukaryota; Metazoa; Chordata; Mammalia; Primates; Hominidae.
UUUUGGCAGGUCUGAUUUAAGAAAAACUGAAGGUGUAUUUUCACAUAGUAUGUCAGUGGUAGACUUCGUAAUUAGACUAAAUCGUGUAUAUUUUUGCAGGAGGAUACAGACCACAAUUACUAUAUAUCUCGAAUAUAUGGUCCAUCUGAUUCUGCCAGCCGGGAUUUAUGGGUGAACAUAGACCAAAUGGAAAAAGAUAAAGUGAAGAUUCAUGGAAUAUUGUCCAAUACUCAUCGGCAAGCUGCAAGAGUGAAUCUGUCCUUUGAUUUUCCAUUUUAUGGCCACUUCCUACGUGAAAUCACUGUGGCAACCGGGGGUUUCAUAUACACUGGAGAAGUCGUACAUCGAAUGCUAACAGCCACACAGUACAUAGCACCUUUAAUGGCAAAUUUCGAUCCCAGUGUAUCCAGAAAUUCAACUGUCAGAUAUUUUGAUAAUGGCACAGCACUUGUGGUCCAGUGGGACCAUGUACAUCUCCAGGAUAAUUAUAACCUGGGAAGCUUCACAUUCCAGGCAACCCUGCUCAUGGAUGGACGAAUCAUCUUCGGAUACAAAGAAAUUCCUGUCUUGGUCACACAGAUAAGUUCAACCAAUCAUCCAGUGAAAGUCGGACUGUCCGAUGCAUUUGUCGUUGUCCACAGGAUCCAACAAAUUCCCAAUGUUCGAAGAAGAACAAUUUAUGAAUACCACCGAGUAGAGCUACAAAUGUCAAAAAUUACCAACAUUUCGGCUGUGGAGAUGACCCCAUUACCCACAUGUCUCCAGUUUAACAGAUGUGGCCCCUGUGUAUCUUCUCAGAUUGGCUUCAACUGCAGUUGGUGUAGUAAACUUCAAAGAUGUUCCAGUGGAUUUGAUCGUCAUCGGCAGGACUGGGUGGACAGUGGAUGCCCUGAAGAGUCAAAAGAGAAGAUGUGUGAGAAUACAGAACCAGUGGAAACUUCUUCUCGAACCACCACAACCGUAGGAGCGACAACCACCCAGUUCAGGGUCCUAACUACCACCAGAAGAGCAGUGACUUCUCAGUUUCCCACCAGCCUCCCUACAGAAGAUGAUACCAAGAUAGCACUACAUCUAAAAGAUAAUGGAGCUUCUACAGAUGACAGUGCAGCUGAGAAGAAAGGGGGAACCCUCCACGCUGGCCUCAUCGUUGGAAUCCUCAUCCUGGUCCUCAUUGUAGCCACAGCCAUUCUUGUGACAGUCUAUAUGUAUCACCACCCAACAUCAGCAGCCAGCAUCUUCUUUAUUGAGAGACGCCCAAGCAGAUGGCCUGCGAUGAAGUUUAGAAGAGGCUCUGGACAUCCUGCCUAUGCUGAAGUUGAACCAGUUGGAGAGAAAGAAGGCUUUAUUGUAUCAGAGCAGUGCUAAAAUUUCUAGGACAGAACAACACCAGUACUGGUUUACAGGUGUUAAGACUAAAAUUUUGCCUAUACCUGUAAGACAAACAAACACACACACACACAAACAAGCUCUAAGCUGCUGUAGCCUGAAGAAGACAAGAUUUCUGGACAAGCUCAGCCCAGGAAACAAAGGGUAACAAAAAACUAAAACUUAUACAAGAUACCAUUUACACUGAACGUAGAAUUCCCUAGUGGAAUGUCAUCUAUAGUUCACUCGGAACAUCUCCCGUGGACUUAUCUGAAGUAUGACAAGAUUAUAAUGCUUUUGGCUUAGGUGCAGGGUUGCAAAGGGAUCAGAAAAAAAAAAAUCAUAAUAAAGCUUUAGUUCAUGAGGGAUCGACACCUUUGGUUCAAAUGUUCUCUGAUGUCUCAAAGAUAACUGUUUUCCAAAGCCUGAACCCUUUCACUCAAAAGAGCAAUGAUGAAUGUCUCAAGAUUGCUAAGAAAAACAGCCCAUGCAAGAGUCAGAACAAACACAAAAUAAGAGAUUUUCUACAUUUUCAAAA